ACUCUAUCUGUCUGGGAAACCUCAGACAGGGAAGAGAUUUCUUGGUGCCUCUCUUGGGAAUGUCACUGACGUCCACAGUGACUGUCACAUGCGUGUCAGUUGUUCUGUGGGUUUGCUGUGUGCGGGGCACUGUGGAAAGGAAGAAAGGCCUAGAUUCCAGUCCAGCUCCACCACUCAGCAGCUUCAUGCCCACAGACAAAGGACAAAAUCCCCCUGAGCCUCAGUUUUUUCGUGGACAAAAUGGAGUGAACACCUUGUGGGGCUGCUGUGGGCCUAGGAUUCCGUGACAGGCCCUCUGGGAAGAACUCCGCGAACAACCCCCUGCCUUGGAGUCUGCAAUCCUUCCUCGAGCACACGGACGCCCGGGGUGGGGAAGCCCACAGUCUGGCAGGGCUCGCACUGGGCAGAAUAAUUGCAACGUAGUCAUGAGGAUCGGGCUAUGACCUGCCUGACUUUUCACUCCUCCCAUGAUACACCGAUGCAUACCGCAGGUGCACACUAAACGCCGAAUCUAUAGAAAGUGGAACACACCAGGACCCAGCAGAAGGCGACAUG
Homo sapiens (human) is the source of this 555-nucleotide long non-coding RNA. Lineage: Eukaryota; Metazoa; Chordata; Mammalia; Primates; Hominidae. The record is from Ensembl.